AUUGAACGCUGGCGGCAUGCUUUACACAUGCAAGUCGAACGGCAGCGCGGGCUUCGGCCUGGCGGCGAGUGGCGAACGGGUGAGUAAUACAUCGGAACGUGCCCAGUAGUGGGGGAUAGCUCGGCGAAAGCCGGAUUAAUACCGCACACGACCUGAGGGUGAAAGCGGGGGAUCUUCGGACCUCGCGCUAUUGGAGCGGCCGAUGGCAGAUUAGCUAGUUGGUGGGGUAAAGGCCUACCAAGGCGACGAUCUGUAGCUGGUCUGAGAGGACGACCAGCCACACUGGGACUGAGACACGGCCCAGACUCCUACGGGAGGCAGCAGUGGGGAAUUUUGGACAAUGGGCGAAAGCCUGAUCCAGCAAUGCCGCGUGUGUGAUGAAGGCCUUCGGGUUGUAAAGCACUUUUGGCGGGAACGAAAAGGACUGUGCCAAUACCACGGUUCGAUGACGGUACCCGCAGAAUAAGCACCGGCUAACUACGUG
This 484-nucleotide ribosomal RNA is filed under the name uncultured bacterium. RNAcentral's name for it is "partial 16S ribosomal RNA". It matches the Rfam family "Bacterial small subunit ribosomal RNA", at positions 29 to 507 of the family's 1533-position model. The record is from RNAcentral.